RNAcentral lists this unclassified non-coding RNA (238 nucleotides) under uncultured Ceratobasidium. RNAcentral's name for it is "sequence contains ITS2". Lineage: Eukaryota; Fungi; Basidiomycota; Agaricomycetes; Cantharellales; Ceratobasidiaceae. The record is from RNAcentral.
AAAUUAUCAAAGCAAGUCUUUUGUUAACUCAAUUGACUGUCUGCUUUGGAUUUGGAGGUCUCUGCAGAUUAACACUCUGCUCCUCUUAAAUGCAUUAGCUGGAUCUCAGUAUAUGCUUGGUUCCACUCGGCGUGAUAAGUAUCACUCGCUGAGGACACUUUUUGUAAAAAAAAAGGUGGCCAGGAAAUACAGAUGAACCGCUUCUAACAGUCUAUUAAAUUAGACAAAUAAUUUUAAG